Long non-coding RNA from Drosophila pseudoobscura, 1142 nucleotides. RefSeq lists it as uncharacterized. The record is from RefSeq and is a predicted model, not a curated record. The transcript has 3 exons. NCBI's taxonomy places the organism in Eukaryota, Metazoa, Arthropoda, Insecta, Diptera, Drosophilidae.
GCCUCGAAAAAAACCCUCUAAAAGGAUCAACCAGCUGGUGCUGCUGCCAGGUAAAGCCCUUUUUUUUGGGCCAAAUUACUUCACACCUCGCAGGCAGCGGGGGUGGUGGCCGGCCCUGCACGUUUUCAAAAUUCAUUUGUUCUAAAACUUAAUCAGCGAACGUCGUCGGCGGACAAGAAGUCGUGAUUGCGCAACUCAUAACUCACGAAUAAAGAACCAGAGCAGAGCAGACCAACUUGAACUUGCUUUUGGCGGUUUUUUUUGGCGGAGAAAAGAGGGAGUGGUGUUGACUGCACUUCACACCGAGCUUUGUGGCUCGUCUUUUGGUACAUUGUUUAAUUAAAAACGUAGCUGCCGCCACGCUGCUGCAACACGUACAAAGAUGAUGACAACAACAUGGGGAUUGAGGAGGAAUCUAGAGGAGUCAUGGAACAAAAAACAAAGAAGAUCGGGAGCAAAAGACGUUAAAAUUAAAUAUAGGAAUAAACUGGUAUUUUUUCAUAACCAUUUCUUAGGAGAAAGACUUAAAAGAUGAUGGGAAUCUCUAUAUUCCUUCAGUUAAAUCAAACAAAAGGCAGAAAGACCUAGAAAUUGUUAAAAAAAAUAUGGCAAAAUCAAAAGAAAUUCAAGGGAAAUCAUACCCAAAAUGAAAAAUAUAAUAUAUGUUAAAUGUUUAUGGAUCAAAAAAACUGCCCUAAAAGGUAUCCCAAAACACCAUUAAUCCUACGAAACCCCAAUAAAACCACUCUCUAUUUUUCCACACCACAUUUUCUCUAAAUGAAGUGCCUGCCCAGGGUAUCCAUCAUUCGUGAGGCACUUUCCUCUUCAGCGCGUGGUGUUUAUAAUUCGCGAAUCAUGUUGCAUUGUUCGGGGCGUCUGCUGAUUCUGUUUCUGUUCUCUGGAUGAUGACGAGAGGAGCUUUACUUUUAUGGGUCUUCCUCUCGGGGCACCGCCAUGAUGUGGCACAUUUCCGCCACUGAGACUUGAACUUGGGACAGGAGCUCCUGUAUGCCUCGCCCUUGCCUUUAACAAUGACAAUUGUUAGUGUCGGGUGCUGCUGCUUGCUGCUGCUUCUGCUGAUUAUUUUGACUUGAUAACGAGCUAAACAAUAAAAACAAGCAUCUUCAGGCCCCGCAAACAAA